ACAAGCAGCGGAGCGUGUGGUUUAAUUCGAUGAUACGCAAGAACCUCACCCAGGUUUGACAUGCAUGUGGUACUGAUGUGAAAGCUGAGGGACCCUUCGGGGAGCAUGCACAGGUGUUGCACGGCCGUCGUCAGCUCGUGCCGUGAGGUGUUGGGUUAAGUCCCGCAACGAGCGCAACCCCUGUCGCCAGUUGUACUUUUCUGGCGAGACUGCCGAGAAAACCUCGGAGGAAGGAGGGGACGAUGUCAGGUCAGCGUGGCCCUUACGCCUGGGGCUACACACACGCUACAAUGGGCAGUACAACGGGUCGCCAAGCCGCGAGGUGGAGCUAAUCCCAUCAAAACUGUCCUCAGUUCGGAUUGCAGGCUGAAACCCGCCUGCAUGAAGCCGGAGUUGCUAGUAACCGCAGGUCAGCACUACUGCGGUGAAUACGUUCCCGGGCCUU
This 445-nucleotide ribosomal RNA is filed under the name uncultured Chloroflexota bacterium. RNAcentral describes it as "bacterial SSU rRNA". It matches the Rfam family "Bacterial small subunit ribosomal RNA", at positions 925 to 1382 of the family's 1533-position model. Lineage: Bacteria; Bacillati; Chloroflexota. The record is from RNAcentral.